GUGCUCACUUCAGCAGCACAUAUACUAAAACUGGAAAAAUACAAAGAAGAUAAGCAUGGCCCAUCUGCAAGGAUGACACACAAAUUUGUGAAGUGUUCCAUAUUUUU
Phyllostomus hastatus (greater spear-nosed bat) is the source of this 107-nucleotide small nuclear RNA. The record is from RefSeq and is a predicted model, not a curated record. Lineage: Eukaryota; Metazoa; Chordata; Mammalia; Chiroptera; Phyllostomidae.